UGCUCCGCCGUGAUCUCUGUGUACACUGCUCCUCAUGUGGGACUGACGUCAGUGGAAAUUUGUGUAGACUUUAUGAGGCUGCGGCUUAAGGUUUGUUGAUGUUUUUGUGGCUGCUGCCACUGGGGAUUUAUGGGCCACCCACACGGAGAUACUCCGCUUAUCGGCGAGCCGUUUACCAGGCAUAAAUCUGCCUACUCUGGAAUGAGUUGGAUCGUGCUCUGGGCUCUUGGCUCAAAGACAACCAAACACGGUAACAAUCUUUAAAUGAGUCAAGAUCUGGAGAUUUUCCCUCGUUUCACAUCAACUAAGAGCAAAGCUGGCAGGAAUCUCAAUCACUUGUCUUGGCUCAAAGACAACCAAACACGGUAACAAUCUUUAAAUGAGUCAAGAUCUGGAGAUUUUCCCUCGUUUCACAUCAACUAAGAGCAAAGCUGGCAGGAAUCUCAAUCACUUGUAGUGCUACGCACUGCACUGAUCUCGCCUUGAACUGUCCACACAGAAAUAGAUUCAAGAUCAUGGGCACGGGCUUGAUUGUUUUCCGCUCUCCGAAUAGGUGAAAUAGCACUUGAUUGGUUUUCCAUUAAAUCUGGCCUGACCUAAGUUUUAGACAAACGACAUACCCCCUUCGUAGCACGCUGAUCCCUGUGGAGACAUCAUCUUGGAGAACUGCUGGCAUUAGAGCGGCUUAUCACCCACUUUGAUGGUCUAUCUUUAGCUUUACGACCUGCCGUUUCGUGGGCUUUUCCCCAGCGCUCUUGCUUGGAUCUCAGAGCUCCACUGACGCAAACACAGAACUCUUUGGGUCACGUGAGUCGAAAGUGCCCAGUCACUCUUGGCUACGCAGUGUCUAUGGUCCAACGGGUCCGGCUGUGCGCCCCCAGCCCCGUAAAGCCUCCCAGCCGGAACCCCUUCCGAGCGCUUCCAACUCCCCCUGCAAUCCCCUUCCUCCAGUCAAAUGGAAACCGAAAUGGAUGCGCACAGCUCGCGGCUUGAUUAAUCAUUGCAUGCUCAAUAUCAAUUAAGACAAGGGGAAAAGUACAAGAUCGGCUCUCCGCCCCAGAAGAGGCUUGUA
Molecule: long non-coding RNA, 1072 nt
Organism: Drosophila biarmipes
Lineage: Eukaryota; Metazoa; Arthropoda; Insecta; Diptera; Drosophilidae
Exons: 2
Source: RefSeq, a predicted model, not a curated record